This 397-nucleotide ribosomal RNA is filed under the name uncultured bacterium. RNAcentral describes it as "partial 16S ribosomal RNA". It matches the Rfam family "Bacterial small subunit ribosomal RNA", at positions 523 to 918 of the family's 1533-position model. The record is from RNAcentral.
AUACGUAGGGGGCGAGCGUUGUCCGGAAUGAUUGGGCGUAAAGGGCGCGUAGGCGGCCCGGUAAGUCUGGAGUGAAAGUCCUGUUUUUAAGAUGGGAAUUGCUUUGGAUACUGUCGGGCUUGAGUGCAGGAGAGGUAAGUGGAAUUCCCAGUGUAGCGGUGAAAUGCGUAGAGAUUGGGAGGAACACCAGUGGGGAAGGCGACUUACUAGACUGCAACGGACGCUGAGGAGCGAUAGUGUGAGCAUCAAACUGGAGUAGUUAACCUCGUAUCCCCCGCUGUGAACUAUUCAUGCUAAGUUGAGGGGGUAUCGCGCCUUUCUGUGCCGCAGGCAACACAAUUAGCAUUCCUCCUGGGGAGUUCCGCAUCAACGUUGAUACUCAAAUGAAUUGACGUGG